AGGACUAUUGACAUGGAAAGGACAGUUACUUUAGCCUGUUUUGCAGCAGUGCCAUGGAUAAGGAAGAGAGAACUUGAUAGUAUGAGAUUUGAGGUUCCUUGGUUUACUAAAGGGGGCUAGUAUAUACUGCACAGCAUUACUUACACAGGGGGGCUGUCCACACUUCAACAACAGGAGCAAAGGUUCAAGUUCCUGACAGAUAAGUGCAGCGUCAUUACUUGAAAUAGUGUCAGGAUAGCAUUUAUUUCUGCAAAAUUGCAGUAAAAGUCAACCCAUUAAACAGAUUAUGUGUUUUACACCUCUUAUUACAGAUUCAGGCCUUUUAAAGCUGCAUUAUGGCAGUGAAGUUAUUCUGCUUAGUUAUGCCAGUGGAUAUAUUCUGCCUAAUAAAAGCCCAGCCGCCUGGAAGAGGACGAUGGCCGCCGACCGCGAGGGGAGAAGGGACUCCUAACCAACCGCCUGGAGCGGUCAGGGCUGCUGCCAGGGGCGCAGGAGUCACCUACUGGCCGCUGAAACGCGGCAGGGUUUGAGGGUGGAGGAGUGGACGAGGAACAAGCUGCGGCGUAUCGGAGAACUGGCGAGUAGACGGUGAUGACCUGCCGGCAGACGUGGCUUAGGGCACGCCCUCCCCCAGGGAAAGGGGGGGGGGGGGUGUACGUCAUGCUUGGGGCUCCCCAGCCUGAGAGAACGAGGGAGGAAUGUGGCAGGGCGGAGGGCGGGGCCGGGUUGUGAUCUUACACACCCGGGCCCGUAUUAGGCUAAUUAAGCCUCUGAGAGGGAUAAAGGUCGACAGCAGAGAAUCGUGCGGGAGAGAGAGAUGUCUGUCAUAUGUGUGUUUGUCUUUUGUUUAAGUUGUUAAUUAAAAUAUUCUUUAUAU
Molecule: long non-coding RNA, 877 nt
Organism: Xyrauchen texanus (razorback sucker)
Lineage: Eukaryota; Metazoa; Chordata; Actinopteri; Cypriniformes; Catostomidae
Exons: 3
Source: RefSeq, a predicted model, not a curated record